UACGAAGGGGGCUAGCGUUGUUCGGAUUUACUGGGCGUAAAGCGCAUGUAGGCGGGGCGUUAAGGUGGGGGUGAAAUACCGGGGCUCAACCUCGGAACUGCCUUCAAAACUGGCGACCUGGAGCAAGAUAGAGGCAAGUGGAAUUGCGAGUGUAGAGGUGAAAUUCGUAGAUAUUCGCAGGAACACCAGUGGCGAAGGCGACUUGCUGGAUCUUUGCUGACGCUGAGAUGCGACAGCGUGGGGAGCAAUCAGG
RNAcentral lists this ribosomal RNA (253 nucleotides) under uncultured bacterium. Its description in RNAcentral is "partial 16S ribosomal RNA". It matches the Rfam family "Bacterial small subunit ribosomal RNA", at positions 524 to 776 of the family's 1533-position model. The record is from RNAcentral.